Molecule: ribosomal RNA, 253 nt
Filed under: uncultured bacterium
Lineage: Bacteria
Description: partial 16S ribosomal RNA
Rfam family: Bacterial small subunit ribosomal RNA
Source: RNAcentral
UACGAAGGGGGCUAGCGUUGCUCGGAAUUACUGGGCGUAAAGGGCGCGUAGGCGGGUCGUUUAGUUAGAGGUGAAAGCCCAGGGCUCAACCCUGGAAUUGCCUUUAAUACUGGCGGCCUUGAGUAUGGCAGAGGUGUGUGGAACUCCGAGUGUAGAGGUGAAAUUCGUAGAUAUUCGGAAGAACACCAGUGGCGAAGGCGACACACUGGGCCAUUACUGACGCUGAGGCGCGAAAGCGUGAGGAGCAAACAGG